GUAUAACAAUAUAAGCACUUUGUGUUGCUAAGUGUUCUAAAACGCGGUCUGGGCGACCGUCUAGACGGCGCCUAGGCGCUGGGCGUCGGGCAUCCGCCGCGAUUAUUUCAAAAACGUUCAGGAAAUCGGCAAGGGUACUAGGCACCGGGCUAAGCGGCCUCUGCGGUGGUUCUGUUAAAAUAUUCCGUUUCACUACACAGCGAGGGUGACGAAAGAGAAGCCGAGAGAGCGUGAGGGAAGAGUAAACGUGAGAGAGAUGUAGAAGGAAUCAGAUAACAGUGCAAUUGCAGGAAAAAAAAACAAGAACUCUUACCUGGAAGCCCAGAUUUCUUUGCCGGAGAGGAUUUCUUCGCUGUGCUUGAGGAAAUUGACUGUACUCAUGAUUAGGUUUUGGAAAAUUAUACAGAGCAAGAAGAUGGAAAUCAGGCGGAAAGAUGGGAAAUCAGGCGGAGCAAUCGAAGAAGAAUGGAGGGAGAGGAAACGAGAAACCGCAAAUUAAGGCCUUACCGAUUUCCAAUGUGUCAAAAGUCACUGCCCUCUGUCAAAAGCCGUCUAGGCGCUAAGCCCCUACCCACCGCACGAUUAGCACCUAGCAUUUUUUAGAACCUUAACAAGGGAUUCAUUUAUGCAUACUGUUUAGAACUUUGUUGUUAAAAUGCGUGGUUAAGAUUCUCAGAAGUCUAUUAGUAUCAUAUAUUUUGCACAUUGUUGGUCAAGAGAACUUUCUGCUUACAUUUAAGCCUAUGAAUUUACUAGUUCAUUUUGCCAUGACUAAUUUGUAAU
RNAcentral lists this long non-coding RNA (783 nucleotides) under Malus domestica (apple). Its description in RNAcentral is "long non-coding RNA (MDOM_LNC004082)". Lineage: Eukaryota; Viridiplantae; Streptophyta; Magnoliopsida; Rosales; Rosaceae. The record is from RNAcentral.